This 1249-nucleotide long non-coding RNA is filed under the name Papio anubis (olive baboon). RNAcentral describes it as "lncRNA (ENSPANG00000048525.1)". Lineage: Eukaryota; Metazoa; Chordata; Mammalia; Primates; Cercopithecidae. The record is from RNAcentral.
GCUAUCAUUAUAUCCUUCCCUCAUUAUCAAAAACAUGUUAACUGUUAUUGUACUUCUUGAAUUAUUUUUAUUUCUUCCCAGCAAACUGAGAAUACAUCUUCCCUUUGUGUAUGGCAUUCACAUCCACCGUCAGGCACUUGAUGAAGAAACUGAUUCACAGCAGGGCUGAGAAAUUUUACAGGCUGGCACAGUUAAUAAGCAGAAGAGUUGGGAUGUGAACACUGCCAGUCUGGCUUCAGAAUGUUCAGAGCUACUUUCUCACAGUUGUGGAACACAGAAGUUGAGGUCCAUUAUACUUAAUGGACCUAGUUAGCAUGGGCUUUUAACUGGACCUAUUAAUCUUGGGCAUUUAACUGAGUUCCUAAAUUUUAGAACUUUCUGUACUUCGUAAGGUUGGGCUUUUAAUUGAGUUCCUAAAUCUUAGAAUGGAGAUACUAUGUAUUUCUUAUGGCCUAAUGUGAUGUUUGAGAGCUGGGAUUCUAGAACGUGACUGGGUUUCAACCCAGGUUCUACCAUUUACCAGCUGUAUCAUUUGAAUGAGUUAGUAGCAUCUUUCUAUCUUUGGGCCUUGGUUUUGCCAUAAUAACACACAUACUUUAAAGAUAUUCUGAAGAUUAAAUGAGUUUCUGUCUCUGUCUCACAAGAUAGACUGCUGUUUUAUAAGUUCUUAACUAUAAUAAAAGUUUAAGAAUGAAAUUAAUUUAAAUGAAGAAUGGCUGUAGUGCCAUGUAGAAACUAAAUAGAAAGUACCCAUUGUUAUCUUCAGCAAAUUCAGUCAUAUCUCUGUUCUCACAUCUCAUCAAUCCGAUUCCGGGAUUCUGUGCUUUAUAAUAAACUAAGUUACUGUAAAAUUCUAGUGUAUUUAUCAGUGCUUGGUCUCGCUACUUGUUACCAACAACUGAACAAUCUUUUCUUCUCUGCAUCUUUUCCCCCCUUCCUGAUUACUACUGUCAUCAUAAUCAUAGUCAUUAUCGUCAUCAUAACUUAGCUUUUAGCUUGGCUCUCACUUUAUCUGGGAACCCUUCUCUCAAUCCUUUAAUCAAAAUGGUAGUCAUUACUCUCUGCUUAUAGCACCCUAUGCUGACACUGACAUAGACUUAACAUUCCUCUGUAUUGCAAUUUAUUUUCAGUUUGUCUGUCUGUUAUUUCUCCUCAGCUAAGCAUAUCUUAUCAAAUUCUCCAUCCCUCUAGCACCUAUCACAAUUCCUGACAUAGCAGUUUUUCAGGAUGUGUUUUCAGCAAAUGCAAU